Molecule: long non-coding RNA, 1141 nt
Filed under: Homo sapiens (human)
Lineage: Eukaryota; Metazoa; Chordata; Mammalia; Primates; Hominidae
Description: HSALNT0258276
Source: RNAcentral
UUUCUGCUUGUACAGAGCCUCAGGUCCAGCCAGAGCAAACAUUGCUAAAAGCUGUAAUCUCCAGUUAGAAAACAACCUUGAAGGGAGUUUCUCAGUGGCCUCAUUAGACAAACAAGAGGUGGUAGGACCAAGCCUCCUUUGGAAUGGACCUGCCCAGAAGGAAAGGGGACAAAAGGUACACAGAAAGCCCCCUGGUGUCUGACGGCCCCUGGAAAUAAUAAUUGGAAAAAGAAUGAAAACAAUUGCAAUACUUCUGUGAACUCAAUUGUUCUAUAUAUAAAAUGAACAUGUUGGACUAGCUCAGUGACUCUAAAUGAAGGCUACAGAGUUCUUCUCUUCUGUGACCUCUAGGGAGAAAAGUAGAGUUACAAUGUUAGGGUAGUGAUGCUUUUAAAUUACAUGUCCAAAUUAGCUCCUGGCAUUGAUGAGAAUAUGUUGUAUCUUUCUAGUAGGUAGGGACAGGAAAAGGUAGAGAGUGUGCUAUUUGAUUGUCCUGCCAACUCUUUCAUUCCUUAAUUUGGGAAUUAGUUGACCCCAUUUGACAGGUGAAUCAAUGAAUAGCUAAAUUACUGACAUAUAUAAAUAAAAUAUUCAUUUAUUUUCUUUUUUUUGCAUUUGUAGUUUUGGAACAAUUUUACAUUUACAGAAAAGUUGCAAAGAGAAUUCCUAUAUAACCUUCACCUACUUACCCUUAAUAUUCAUAUCUUUCAUAGAUGUACAUUUGUCAAAACAUUUGUACACUACUAUUAAAUAAUUCCAAACUUUUUUUGGGUUUCACAUUUUCCCAUUUAUAUCCCUUUUCUUUCCCAGGAUACAAUCUAGGAUACUAUGUUGCAUUUAGGAAAUAUUUAUUUUAGUGUGUAAAUAUUUAUGCUAUGCAUUGGUUUGAUGGAAUUAUGAGUCAAAGAAUGAUUUAUGAUCCCCACUUUACACAACCUCUUGUCUGGAAGGCAUAACCACAUGUGCAGAAACAUCGAUGCAUCCUUGUCCUUAGAUCUUCAAAUCAACAUGCUAAGUUUGAGGAUGCACAGUCAGUGGGAAGGCCUUCCCUGGAAAACCAUGCAGGCAGUCCAUAUUGGUGAUGCCAGUUAUAUACCAGCUAAGCCCCACAUCCUGACUGCAUGGAAAUGUGGCAGGAAUU